GUGUGUAUGUGCGUGUGUGUGUGUGUACGUGCGUGUGAGGAAGUUACAGUUUAAUGUUGGUUAGUCUCAAUUGUCGACGACGAGGCUUUGCGGCUGAUUGAUGCCAGAGUAGUUGUUGUUGCCAGCUACUUUGGACAAACAAAUCUUGCAACAUGAGCUGGAGAAACAAUUGAGAUUUUGUAUUGGAAAAAAGCUACAAAAACUAGCAACGGACAGCAGCAACUGACAGCGGGCAGCUCGCAGAACUUGUGAUUAUUUCAAAACGGAAACGGAAGUCGAAAGAGCAGCAGGAGCCGGGAGUAGAAAGACAAAGAAGAAUACGAAGAAGAAGAAGCAGAGGCAGAAGCAACAGCGUAAGCAGAUAGUCGCCAGACGACAGUUGAAAACAAUGCAAAUUAAAAUACAAUAAAAUGUAAAACACGGCAGCAACAGCAACAGCAACAGCAAC
This is a long non-coding RNA of Drosophila hydei, 448 nucleotides long. RefSeq lists it as uncharacterized. NCBI's taxonomy places the organism in Eukaryota, Metazoa, Arthropoda, Insecta, Diptera, Drosophilidae. The record is from RefSeq and is a predicted model, not a curated record. The transcript has 3 exons.